GAUGAAGAACGCAGCGAAAUGCGAUAAGUAGUGUGAAUUGCAGAAUUCAGUGAAUCAUCGAAUCUUUGAACGCACAUUGCGCCUCCUGGCAUUCCGGGAGGCAUGCCUGUUCGAGCGUCAUUAAAAUCACUCAAGCUUAGGUUUGCCUAUUGCUUGGUCUUGAAGAUGGAAGCUAAGUAAUUAGAAUCCUCUUCGAAAUCCAAUGGCGAAGACCCUUGCUCUCCCAAGUGUAGUAAUAACUUAUUCACUGAAGGAAGCGAGUAAUCUUCCGCCGUAACCCCCAUAUUUUCUAUGAUUGACCUCGGAUCAGGUAGGGAUACCCGCUGAACUUAAGCAUAUCAAUAAGCGGAGGA
RNAcentral lists this unclassified non-coding RNA (353 nucleotides) under soil metagenome. RNAcentral describes it as "partial contains 5.8S ribosomal RNA, internal transcribed spacer 2, and large subunit ribosomal RNA". The stretch from base 1 to 120 matches the Rfam family "5.8S ribosomal RNA", at positions 35 to 154 of the family's 154-position model. The record is from RNAcentral.